This is a non-coding RNA of Acanthosepion pharaonis, 106 nucleotides long. Lineage: Eukaryota; Metazoa; Mollusca; Cephalopoda; Sepiida; Sepiidae. The record is from the annotation of a GenBank genome assembly.
ACGGCCAUAUCACGUUAAAAUACCAGUUCCCAUACGAUCACCGAAGUUAAACAACGUCGAGUCAGGUCAGUACCUAGAUGGGUGACAGCUUGGGUGUGCGGAUGGU